Molecule: unclassified non-coding RNA, 354 nt
Filed under: soil metagenome
Description: partial contains 5.8S ribosomal RNA, internal transcribed spacer 2, and large subunit ribosomal RNA
Rfam family: 5.8S ribosomal RNA (bases 1-119)
Source: RNAcentral
GAUGAAGAACUCAGCGAAACGCGAAAGGUAAUGCGAAUUGCAGAAUCAGUGAGUCAUCGAAUCUUUGAACGCACAUUGCGCCCCUUGGUAUUCCGGGGGGCACGCCUGUUCGAGCGCCAUUACACACCCCAAGCUAAGCUUGAUGUUGGGCGAUGUCUGUCACAGGACACGCCUGGAACGUAUGGGCGCCGCCGCCGGAUCACGAGUGUAGCAAGACGCAAGUCAUCGCUCGGUCGGUCCUGGCGGUUGGCCGCCGCGGCUCAUGGUAACACAUGGGCCAGUAACUUUUCACAAGUUUGGCCUCGAAUCAGGCGGGGAUACCCGCUGAACUUAAGCAUAUCAAUAAGCGGAGGA